UGGAUUCACUUAUUUUCUUCUUUACAAGCUUCUGUCAGGUUUUGGAAAAGCAUUUCCCUAGACUGUAGUAAAUUGUAUUUUUCUUGUUCUGUCUAUUUAAAUCCUAGCCCGAGGGGAUGUGUUUAUUCAUCUGAGAGAGGGAGAGAGAGAAACGUGAGUGAGAGAGACGUGGAUCGGUUGCCUCCCACACCUGCCCGGCCAGAAACGGAACCACAGCCUUCCGGCCGGUGGGCUGGCGUCCAGUCGAUGGCCCGGCCAGGCUGUUGCUUCUUCCGUUAGACUCUGUGUGCAGCCUCUGGGUUUUCACUCGGGACGAAGCAGGCAAUUGGAACAUUUGGUUGUAAGCUGCUGUUUCGUUGGCCCCAUUACAGGAGGGAAAAUAAACUGGUAAAUUGAAAGUAGA
Molecule: long non-coding RNA, 403 nt
Organism: Myotis brandtii (Brandt's bat)
Lineage: Eukaryota; Metazoa; Chordata; Mammalia; Chiroptera; Vespertilionidae
Exons: 2
Source: RefSeq, a predicted model, not a curated record